Molecule: unclassified non-coding RNA, 338 nt
Filed under: soil metagenome
Description: partial contains 5.8S ribosomal RNA, internal transcribed spacer 2, and large subunit ribosomal RNA
Rfam family: 5.8S ribosomal RNA (bases 1-120)
Source: RNAcentral
GAUGAAGAACGCAUCGAAAUGCGAUAAGUAAUGUGAAUUGCAGAAUUCAGUGAAUCAUCGAAUCUUUGAACGCACAUUGCGCCCGGCAGUACUCUGCCGGGCAUGCCUGUUCGAGCGUCAUUUCAACCCUCAAGCCCUGCUUGGUGUUGGGGCCCCACGGCUGCCGUGGGCCCUGAAAGGAAGUGGCGGGCUCGCUACAACUCCGAGCGUAGUAAUUCAUUAUCUCGCUUAGGGCGUUGGGCGGCGCUCCAGCCGUUAAAGAACCAUCUUUAACUCAAGGUUGACCUCGGAUCAGGUAGGAAUACCCGCUGAACUUAAGCAUAUCAAUAAGCGGAGGA